CCCUACAGGCAGCACUCAGGGGGCUCGUCGUCUAGGUGAUGCCAACCCUCAAAGACCUCCUCCCCCGCCAGGCCCAACUAGCAGUGCCCUUUGUGCUACUCCCAAUGGACCUACAGGCAGGACUCAGGGGGCUCAUAACCCAGGCGACUACAAUCCAAGUACCAUAACAGGCCGUGCUACUGCAGGUGAUCGUGACGGUCCUACUGCCCCGUUGGAGGCUGCAUCCCUUGCACAAGCUUCUGAUGAUUUUGUGCCCAGGGAUCCUCCAAGGUCUACUACAAAGGGUAGGGCAAAGAGUCGACGGUACAAAUCGGCG
Long non-coding RNA from Triticum aestivum (bread wheat), 316 nucleotides. RefSeq lists it as uncharacterized. NCBI's taxonomy places the organism in Eukaryota, Viridiplantae, Streptophyta, Magnoliopsida, Poales, Poaceae. The transcript is spliced from 4 exons. The record is from RefSeq and is a predicted model, not a curated record.